Molecule: ribosomal RNA, 402 nt
Filed under: uncultured prokaryote
Description: bacterial SSU rRNA
Rfam family: Bacterial small subunit ribosomal RNA
Source: RNAcentral
UAGGGAAUAUUAGUAAUGGGCGAAAGCCUGAACUAGCAACACCGCGUGUGCGAAGAAGGCCUUCGGGUUGUAAAGCACUUUUUGAGAGGAUGAGGAAGGACGGUACUCUCAGAAUAAGCCUCGGCUAACUACGUGCCAGCAGCCGCGGUAAAACGUAGGAGGCGAGCGUUAUCCGGAUUUACUGGGCGUAAAGCGUGUGUAGGCGGUUUGAUAAGUUGGAUGUGAAAGCUCCUGGCUUAACUGGGAGAGGUCGUUCAAAACUAUCAGACUUGAGAGUGGUAGAGGGAGGUGGAAUUCCGGGUGUAGCGGGGGAAUGCGCAGAUAUCCGGAGGAACACCAGUGGCGAAAGCGGCCUCCUGGACCAUUCCUGACACUCAGACGCGAAAGCUAGGGUAGCAAACG